AGGCAUGGAGAAAGUGUCCAUGGGCUUCAUGGUCGGAGCAGCAAGAGCCCACCAUCGCUGUGACCAUCAAUAAACCUUCAUGAAUUAACCUGUUGAGAGGAGGGAUGGGAGAAUCUUACAUUGCAGCUGUAAGAUUAAAUGCUGCUGUUGAACCCUGGACAAUUUCCUGCCACUAAUCUUUUGGUCUGACUAAUAUAGCUAGAUAUAUUACUCAAACCUUUCAGUGAUGGAAAUCAUACCUGGAUCUGGUAAGCAGAGAGAGCAGACCUAUGUCAUCCAUGGAUAUGUGGCUGGGGAGAGUGCAGCUGGCCUGCAGUGGCUAAACCUUUUAAUUCUACCUGGGGGAAUCUGAUUGAGCAAGGGAAAGGUGUAAGUCAUCCACACCUGCUUCAGAGUGGCAGCUGCACUGGAGGUGAGCAUGUUUGUCACACAUACAGGAGUUCACCUCGGUGCCUCCACUGCCAUAACUGCCUAGCACUUCUGGAAAAUCACGUCACCCAUUUUGAUGCAUGAAUAUGUACCUAGGAAUUUAAUUACAGGUGUCUGUCUUUGUAAAAUGCAUGCCAGCAUUAUGGCCUGAAUCCCACUCAUUUCACUGUGUGGCGUGUCCCAACUAGUGCCUACUAGGGACUGGCUCCAGUACCUCUGAAGGCUGAGGACAUGUUGAUCUCAAGAAUGUAGUUGAAGUUGGCUGGGUCUGGGCUUUGUUUCAGGGCCUGCGUUGACUGAUGAGGGUAGAGGAGCAGAGUAAGGCUCCAAAGGUGCAGGUGUUGGGGAUGGAAAGCUGUUAGAUCAGUAGGCGCUGUCUCCACAGCUUGCCCCAUCUCCCAUGGGAGCAGCCAGUCCUCUGAUCUGGCCCAGUGUGCCAGCUGGAGACUGGCAAGCCUGAACAACAACCCACACCUCCCCUUGCCUCCAUCCACCUUUCCACAAACUGCCUGCCCACGUGAAGCCUGGUAAAUAAAUUCUUGUACUGAACUGACUUGCA
RNAcentral lists this long non-coding RNA (988 nucleotides) under Anas platyrhynchos platyrhynchos (common mallard). RNAcentral's name for it is "lncRNA (ENSAPLG00000021759.1)". Lineage: Eukaryota; Metazoa; Chordata; Aves; Anseriformes; Anatidae. The record is from RNAcentral.